This 852-nucleotide long non-coding RNA is filed under the name Marmota monax (woodchuck). Lineage: Eukaryota; Metazoa; Chordata; Mammalia; Rodentia; Sciuridae. The record is from RNAcentral.
GUAGGAUACAGUGUGCAAUUUGAAUGAAAUUUGGAAAAACAUAUGGCAAAAUAUAAAAGUAUAUUUUAUAUGGAAUAAUACUAAAUCAAUUACAUUUGGAGUGGGAGUGCAUAUUUAUAUUUUCCCCUGUUCCUAUGAAUGAAUACAAUAUCCUAAGGUACGUUGCUUCAACCAUUCAUUCAUACUUUCCCUCCACAAACGUGUUGUUGGCUAUUUGGAGAGGCAAAUUAAGAUCCAUAUUUCAUAAACUAGUUAUCUAAGUGUUUUAUGGUUUGAAUGCGAGGUCCCCCAGAAGUUCACGUGUAAGACAAUGCAAGACGGUUUGGAGAAGAAAUGAUUGGGUUAUAGCCUUAAUCUAAUCAGUGUAUUAAUCCCUGGUGUGAUUAACUGAGAGUGAACUGGAGACAGGUGGGGUGUGGCCAGAGGGAGUAGUUCACUGGGAACAUGGCUAUGGGGUAUAUGUUUUGUAUCUGGAGCAUGGAGUCUCUUUCUCUCUGCUUCCUCACCACCAUGUGAGCUGUUUCCCUUUGCCAUACUGUUCUGCCAUGAUGUUCUGCCUUACCUUGAGCCCCGAGGAAUGGAGUCUUCUGUCUCUGGAUUGGGGUCUCUGAAACUGUAAGCCUCCAAAUAAACUUUUCCUUCUUUACAACUGUGCUGGUUGGGUCUUUAUGUCACGGUAGUGAAAAGAGCUGACUAAAACAAGGUGUUUGGUAAUGUCAGACUGAAUGAAAAUAUAUUACUUGAAAAGCAAUGACUUUAAUUAUAAGGCCCUUAAGCAGACAAUGAAAGAAGGGAAGACAAGUAAGUUGUUAUAUAAUAUCAGGUAUUUGUAAGUAGCAAUGAGUAAAGAAA